CCCGCCGCGCCCCGCGCCCGUCCCGCCGCCCCCGCCCGUGGCGGACGGGUGAGUAACGCGUGGGAAACCUGCCCUUGACAGGGGGACAGCCGAGGGAAACUUCGAUUAAUACCCCAUAACGCAGAGAGACCGCAUGGUCCAUCUGCCAAAGAUUUAUCGGUCAGGGAUGGUCCCGCGUCUGAUUAGCUGGUUGGUGAGGCAGCGGCUCACCAAGGCGACGAUCAGUAGCCGGCCUGAGAGGGUGAACGGCCACAUUGGAACUGAGACACGGUCCAGACUCCUACGGGAGGCAGCAGUGGGGAAUAUUGCACAAUGGGCGCAAGCCUGAUGCAGCAACGCCGCGUGAAGGAGGAAGGCCUUCGGGUCGUAAACUUCUGUCCAAAGGGAAGAAGAAUGACGGUACCUUUGGAGGAAGCCCCGGCUAACUACGUGCCAGCAGCCGCGGUAAUACGA
RNAcentral lists this ribosomal RNA (453 nucleotides) under uncultured Eubacteriales bacterium. RNAcentral's name for it is "bacterial SSU rRNA". It matches the Rfam family "Bacterial small subunit ribosomal RNA", at positions 58 to 528 of the family's 1533-position model. Lineage: Bacteria; Bacillati; Bacillota; Clostridia; Eubacteriales. The record is from RNAcentral.